GGCCUUUCGGGGUACUCGAGCGGCGAACGGGUGAGUAACACGUGAGUAACCUGCCCCUGGCUUUGGGAUAACCAUCGGAAACGGUGGCUAAUACCGAAUAUUCACUGCGGACCGCAUGGUUUGUUGUGGAAAGUUUUUCGGCUGGGGAUGGGCUCGCGGCCUAUCAGCUUGUUGGUGGGGUGAUGGCCUACCAAGGCUUUGACGGGUAGCCGGCCUGAGAGGGCGACCGGCCACACUGGGACUGAGACACGGCCCAGACUCCUACGGGAGGCAGCAGUGGGGAAUAUUGCACAAUGGGCGGAAGCCUGAUGCAGCGACGCCGCGUGAGGGAUGACGGCCUUCGGGUUGUAAACCUCUUUCAGCAGGGACGAAGCGAAAGUGACGGUACCUGCAGAAGAAGCGCCGGCCAACUACGUGCCAGCAGCCGCGGUAAGACGUAGGGCGCGAGCGUUGUCCGGAUUUAUUGGGCGUAAAGAGCUCGUAGGCGGCUUGUUGCGUCGUCCGUGAAAACCUGGGGCUCAACUCCAGGCUUGCGGUCGAUACGGGCAGGCUAGAGUUCGGUAGGGGAGACUGGAAUUCCUGGUGUAGCGGUGAAAUGCGCAGAUAUCAGGAGGAACACCGGUGGCGAAGGCGGGUCUCUGGGCCGAUACUGACGCUGAGGAGCGAAAGCGUGGGGAGCGAACAGGAUUAGAUACCCUGGUAGUCCACGCUGUAAACGUUGGGCGCUAGGGUGUGGGGGGCCUCUCCGGUUUCCUGCGCCGUAGCUAACGCAUUAAGCGCCCCGCCUGGGGAGUACGGCCGCAAGGCUAAAACUCAAAGGAAUUUGACGGGGGCCCGCACAAGCGGCGGAGCAUGCGGAUUAAUUCGAUGCGACGCGAAGAACCUUACCUGGGUUUGACAUGGCCGUUAAAGCCGUAGAGAUACGGUGUCCUUCGGGGGCGGUCACAGGUGGUGCAUGGCUGUCGUCAGCUCGUGUCGUGAGAUGUUGGGUUAAGUCCCGCAACGAGCGCAACCCUCGUUCCAUGUUGCCAGCGGGUAAUGCCGGGGACUCAUGGGAGACUGCCGGGGUCAACUCGGAGGAAGGUGGGGAUGACGUCAAGUCAUCAUGCCCCUUAUGUCCAGGGCUUCACGCAUGCUACAAUGGCCGGUACAAUGGGCUGCGAUACCGUGAGGUGGAGCGAAUCCCAAAAAGCCGGUCUCAGUUCGGAUCGGGGUCUGCAACUCGACCCCGUGAAGUCGGAGUCGCUAGUAAUCGCAGAUCAGCAACGCUGCGGUGAAUACGUUCCCGGGCCUUGUACACACCGCCCGUCACGUCACGAAAGUCGGCAACACCCGAAGCCCA
This 1342-nucleotide ribosomal RNA is filed under the name Catellatospora coxensis. Its description in RNAcentral is "bacterial SSU rRNA". It matches the Rfam family "Bacterial small subunit ribosomal RNA", at positions 74 to 1430 of the family's 1533-position model. The record is from RNAcentral. Lineage: Bacteria; Bacillati; Actinomycetota; Actinomycetes; Micromonosporales; Micromonosporaceae.